RNAcentral lists this ribosomal RNA (653 nucleotides) under uncultured Bacteroides sp. RNAcentral's name for it is "bacterial SSU rRNA". It matches the Rfam family "Bacterial small subunit ribosomal RNA", at positions 70 to 715 of the family's 1533-position model. Lineage: Bacteria; Pseudomonadati; Bacteroidota; Bacteroidia; Bacteroidales; Bacteroidaceae. The record is from RNAcentral.
CAUUUUAGUUUGCUUGCAACUAAAGAUGGCGACCGGCGCACGGGUGAGUAACACGUAUCCAUUCUGCCGAUAACUCAGGGAUAGCCUUUCGAAAGAAAGACUAAUACCUGAUGGCAUAGGAUUAUCGCAUGAUGAUCCUAUUAAAGAAUUUCGGUUAUCGAUGGGGAUGCGUUCCAUUAGUUUGUUGGCGGGGUAACGGCCCACCAAGACAGCGAUGGAUAGGGGUUCUGAGAGGAAGGUCCCCCACAUUGGAACUGAGACACGGUCCAAACUCCUACGGGAGGCAGCAGUGAGGAAUAUUGGUCAAUGGACGGGAGUCUGAACCAGCCAAGUAGCGUGAAGGAUGACUGCCCUAUGGGUUGUAAACUUCUUUUAUACGGGAAUAAAGUGAUCCACGUGUGGAUUUUUGUAUGUACCGUAUGAAUAAGGAUCGGCUAACUCCGUGCCAGCAGCCGCGGUAAUACGGAGGAUCCGAGCGUUAUCCGGAUUUAUUGGGUUUAAAGGGAGCGUAGGUGGAUUGUUAAGUCAGUUGUGAAAGUUUGCGGCUCAACCGUAAAAUUGCAGUUGAUACUGGCAGUCUUGAGUACAGUAGAGGUGGGCGGAAUUCGUGGUGUAGCGGUGAAAUGCUUAGAUAUCACGAAGAACUCCGAUUG